Molecule: long non-coding RNA, 1073 nt
Filed under: Callithrix jacchus (white-tufted-ear marmoset)
Lineage: Eukaryota; Metazoa; Chordata; Mammalia; Primates; Cebidae
Description: lncRNA (ENSCJAG00000070410.1)
Source: RNAcentral
AUAGGAACAUCAAAGCAUUUUUUCUAACAAACAACAGCAAUCACAAAAACAAGCCAGGAGAUAAAUUAUGCCGCUCUUCUAGAAGGCAAAAUAGAUGUGGUCUCACCAUGUUGCCUCAGCUACUCUCAGCUCCCUGGCUCAAGUGAUCAUGCCAUCUCAGCCUUUCAAGCAGCUGGCAUUACCAGCAUGCACCAUGGCACCUGGCUCUAGAAGUUUGGUGUUUUGUUUUUAAGAGACGGGGUCUCACUAUGUUGCCCAGGCUGGAGUGCAGUGACUAUUCACAGGGUCGAAUUCUGUCACUGAAGCUGGAGUGUGCAAUCACAGCUCACUGCAUUCUUGACUUUCCAGGCUCAGGUGAUCCUCCACUUCUGCAUCCUGCGUUGCUGAGACCACAGGCACGUGCCACCAUGCCCAGCUUAUUUUUGUAUUUUUUGUAGAGAUAAGGUUUCACCCAUGUUGCCCAGUCUAAUCUCAAACUCCUGGGCUCAAGAGAUCCUUCCAGCUAGGCCUCCCAAGAUGUUGGGAUUAUAGGUGUGAGCCACCAUGCCCAGCAUUCUCUUCCAAAUUCUUUUUACCUUCAUUUCAUACUAUUUUUUCCUUCCUUGAACUGCUUUUCUAAGCUUGUAAAAUGCUUUGAAAUGUUGAAGAGUUAUCAAAUGAAUGACACAAACAGAUUAAAAUCUCUAAUUGGAAAGCUAUUGGUUUCUGUGCUUUAUUUCAUCAAUGUAUAUGAACUGAGUGUUAAUUGAUGCUAACAGCUUUCUCUGGUAGACCCUGUGGGACAUGCUGAGAAAUGCCUUGCCCUCAAGGAAUGUACAGUUUGGAUGGAGGGAUAUGAAGUAGCACACAAUUAAGUGCUAAAUGAGUGGAACAUGUGAGUGCUCUAGGCUGUUCAAAAAGUAGAAGAAUGGGUUUGGAGUAGUCAUAGUGGAUUUUAGUAGGUAGGUGAAGGGAUAACGCUUUCUAAGUAAGGCAAAUGGUGUCAGUAAAAGCACAGAGGCAGAAAUUAAUAACUGAUUGGGCUGAUAAACAUACAUAGUUAUACUGAUAUUCACCAAUAAAAAGGGUUUGUG